GUGCUUGCUUUGCAGCACAUAUACUAAAAUUUGGAACGACACAGAGACUAUUAGCAUGGCCCCUGUGCAAGGAUGAUAUGCAAAUUUGUGAAGCAAUCCAUUAAAAA
Molecule: small nuclear RNA, 107 nt
Filed under: Carlito syrichta (Philippine tarsier)
Lineage: Eukaryota; Metazoa; Chordata; Mammalia; Primates; Tarsiidae
Source: RNAcentral